AAAUUUAUUUUAAUUUGAAAAAGUCUCUAUGGCUUACUACUUACUAAAAAAAUGCGCCCCGAACACCCGGGCGUACGCCCCAAAUUAUGGGGUGUACGCCCCAAAUUAUGGGGUGUACGCCUCUUGGGAUUUUCGCCCCACACCAUCUCCCCGGGGCGUUUUUGAUACGCCUCGCCCCGGAAACGCCUUUUAAAACAGAGCAGUUUACCAUUAUACAAUUCCUAAGCAAUAAUUGGUACUUUCUUACCCGAUAAAAGCAGAGAACAUUGCCUCCAAGAUUUCUCUAUAUCCAGCAAUUCAAGACUACUAAGUCUAAGGCAAGUAGAAAUAACUAAAAAGUCAAAAGGCAACACUAAAAUUAUAAAAUAAAUUAAUUGGAAAAAAUAGAGUCGAGGAGCAAACAAAGACAAGAUUUACGAAAGGAAGGUUUAGUUGGUAACAAAUGGAUUAACAGACCAGAAUGUAGCAUAAGAUUCAAUUCUACACAUAAUUAUAAAUAGAAGGCUAGAUUUUGAAGCACAGAGCUAAUUGAGAAACGCGGUACCUCGGAUGCUACCACAGUUAUCACUUCCAUAUAUAAUGCACAAGUCUAUGAAUUGAUCUAUUAUAAGUUCCACCUACUCUAAUAACUGGGAAAAGAUAUAUAUCAAACUAUGUACUUAACAUCAAUAGAAAAAGGAAAACCUUCAAGUUCAUUUUACCUUGAAAAUUUUAAAUUUCAUCACUAGAUCUUCUUGUGGUUCGGCCCUUCUUCGGACCCCGCGCAUAGCGGAAGCUUAGUGCACGGAGCUAUCCUUUUUAUCACUGGAUCUUCUUAGAGCUAGGAUUUAUUAAAUGGCGAAGGAAUCUCGAAGUUCCAGAAGUUAAGAAAUUGAUAUCUUUUCAGUCCACAACAAAAACCUGACAAGUAGAGAAACUUGUCAUCCAAUACUCAUCUAUAGGGAUGGUAGACGAAUUACUACAAGUGAUGCAUCUUAAUGAAAUUUAAUUUUACAAAUGUAAGCCAUAAGUAUAUCCUUUAUAGUAAUAUAGAUUAGAUGGUCUAGUGAUAUGGAUCACCAUGCAAGUUAUUAAUGCCUUCUGCUACACCCAUCAGUAAGUUAUCGAUGUCCCAACCUGAAUUAGGUGAAACUUUUCAUAACCAAAUUGGUACCAACACACAACAAAGACAAUAACUGCAAAAGAAAAAUGCAACUUUUAUAUAGAGUAGUUUAAAUUAAUCUUAUAAUGUAGUACUUCUAAUUCAAGAGUCGUCUCUGUUGUAUCAAUGUUUCUAUGUCAAAACCUUAUGAUCUACUUUUCUUUAAUGAGCAUUUUUUUCUUCCUAAACAUAUAUGUACCAAAGUUAGAAGAUCGAAAGAACUCCAUGUCUGUAAAAGAAAAAUAAGAAGUGCAUACCCCGAAGAUGGGUCUAAAUGUUCAACAUACCAUCAAAACAUGGAAGAGCGCCAACUUCCAGAUAUUUUUCUUGGCCAACACAGAAAUCACACAAUCAAGGCAUCAUUUUUAUACAGAGAGGAAUUAUAAUAUGAAAAACCUUUAACAGAUCCCCAAUUUUGAUUAAAUGCUUCAAUCAAAAGCAAAAUGUUCGGCUCGACAAUAAAUUAAUAAGUCGAACAAGAAAGGAAUGAUAAAAGAAAAAACCCCCAAAAUCCCCAUGUCAAUAAUAUGACUUCAUUCAAAUACACUACCGUACAAAGUUUUUGAAAUGAAAUUUGCUUAUCUUCCGAAAAGCAAAGAGUGCUAUAACAAAAAGUUAUACUUACAACUUUCUUUUGUUCUCCCGCAGCUACCAAUUUCCAGCGAGGAAAGCGCUACCGCCGCGAAGAUGGCUUUGGGAAGAAAUAUUUUCUAGCCAACAAGGGAAAAUAUCAAAAAAUACUCACCACAUACACCAACUAUGAAAACCCUAAGCGGACAUCAAAAAUCCUGCUCUAACAUACACUUUAUCAAAACUCUAAUUUCCUAACAUCCUCUUUUUUCUCUCCCACUCUCACACUGAACUCGGUACUUUCUUCUUUAAUCUUUGGAGAAAAUAUAAAAUGAAAAGAUAACUUUUGAAAACAAAAAUUACUUGCCUGGAUAUAAUCAUAUAUGGACUAUGAAUUUGAAAUCCUAAAUCAAUUUUUUUUUAUCUUAACCUACCCCUUUUGUCGAUGGCCAUCGACCUCCACAGAUCUAAGAGAACUCGUUGAUUAAGCCUUUAGAUUGUUAGAUGCGUUCUUCAAAUUUGAGAUACAUGUGGUCUUUAGAUCUUAAGUGUGUUAAAGCCUUUUGGGAGGUUGUCUCGAGGUGUAUGUAUAAGAAAUAAAAUUAAUAAGGUAAAAUAGAAAAUAAAAGCGCUGGUUU
RNAcentral lists this long non-coding RNA (2349 nucleotides) under Nicotiana tabacum (common tobacco). Its description in RNAcentral is "long non-coding RNA (NTAB_LNC015414)". Lineage: Eukaryota; Viridiplantae; Streptophyta; Magnoliopsida; Solanales; Solanaceae. The record is from RNAcentral.